CAGCCGCCGCGGAGCCGUCCCCGACGCCACCUCCUUCUCCUCCGCCGCAGUUUCCUCCGCUGCUGUCGGGGUGCGGAGUUGAGGGGCCCGCGCGAGCGCGCCGCGCAUCUCUCCACAGGCUCGCCUCCCGCGCUCCAUUCCGCCCCGAAGGGUCGGCCGGGCGCCCCCUCCUCCGGCCCGGGCGGUGCCGCGAGACACUCGGCAAAGCGGGGAGGGGGCUCGGGGCCGCGGCCUGCACCCCCUGCGUGCGGCUGAGGGCCAAGGAGGCCCUUCCUUCUGACUAGGAGAGGGAGCGUCGGGAGCCCCCCACUCGCCCGGCGAGGUCCGGGGCGGGUGCCGGAGAGGGCCCCCCGCGAGAGGGGCGGUUGUCUGGGGGAGGGGGCUCGGGGUGAUUCAGCGCCCGGCGAGGCGGAAGCGGCCCGAGGAGGAGGAGGAGGGGAGAGGCAGUCCGCUCCUGGGCGCUCUGGGUGGCACGAGCCCGCGGCCCGAGUGCGAGGCGGAGGCGAGGAGGCCGCGGGGACAGGAGGCAAGGCCGGCCGGGCCCCCGCAGCCAUGGAGAACGCGCACACAAAGACGGUGGAGGAGGUGCUGGGUCAUUUCGGCGUCAACGAGAGCACGGGGCUGAGUCUGGAGCAGGUCAAGAAGCUCAAGGAGAGAUGGGGCUCCAACGAGUUGCCGGCCGAAGAAGGAAAAACCUUGCUGGAACUUGUGAUUGAGCAGUUUGAAGACUUACUAGUUAGAAUAUUGUUACUGGCAGCAUGUAUAUCUUUUGUUUUGGCUUGGUUUGAAGAAGGAGAAGAAACAAUUACAGCCUUUGUAGAACCUUUCGUGAUUCUACUUAUAUUAGUAGCCAAUGCAAUUGUGGGUGUAUGGCAGGAAAGAAAUGCUGAGAACGCAAUUGAAGCCCUUAAGGAAUAUGAGCCUGAAAUGGGCAAAGUGUAUCGACAGGACAGAAAGAGUGUGCAGAGGAUUAAAGCUAAAGACAUAGUUCCUGGUGAUAUCGUAGAAAUUGCUGUUGGUGACAAAGUUCCUGCUGAUAUAAGAUUGACUUCCAUCAAAUCGACAACUUUGAGAGUUGACCAGUCGAUUCUCACUGGUGAGUCUGUUUCAGUUAUUAAGCACACCGACCCUGUCCCUGACCCACGGGCUGUCAACCAAGAUAAAAAGAAUAUGCUGUUUUCUGGUACAAACAUUGCUGCUGGGAAAGCCAUGGGAGUGGUGGUGGCAACUGGAGUCAACACUGAAAUCGGCAAAAUCCGGGAUGAAAUGGUUGCAACAGAACAGGAGAGAACACCCCUUCAGCAGAAACUGGAUGAGUUUGGGGAACAGCUUUCCAAAGUCAUUUCCCUUAUUUGCAUUGCAGUCUGGAUCAUAAAUAUUGGGCACUUUAAUGACCCAGUUCACGGUGGCUCCUGGAUCAGAGGUGCUAUCUACUACUUUAAGAUUGCAGUGGCCCUGGCUGUUGCAGCCAUCCCUGAAGGUCUGCCUGCUGUCAUCACCACCUGCCUGGCUCUUGGAACUCGCAGAAUGGCAAAGAAGAAUGCCAUUGUCCGAAGCCUCCCUUCUGUGGAAACUCUUGGUUGUACUUCUGUUAUCUGCUCAGACAAGACUGGCACACUUACAACAAACCAGAUGUCAGUCUGCAGGAUGUUCAUUCUGGACAGAGUUGAAGGUGAUAGUUGUUCGCUCAAUGAGUUUACCAUAACCGGAUCAACAUAUGCACCCAUUGGAGAAGUGCAUAAAGAUGAUAAACCAGUGAAAUGUCAUCAAUAUGAUGGCCUUGUAGAAUUAGCAACAAUUUGUGCUCUUUGUAAUGACUCUGCUUUGGAUUAUAAUGAGGCAAAAGGUGUGUACGAAAAAGUUGGAGAAGCUACGGAGACUGCUCUCACUUGCCUGGUAGAGAAGAUGAAUGUAUUUGAUACUGAAUUGAAGGGUCUUUCUAAAAUAGAACGUGCAAAUGCCUGCAACUCGGUCAUUAAACAGCUGAUGAAAAAGGAAUUCACUCUCGAGUUUUCACGCGAUAGAAAAUCAAUGUCGGUCUAUUGUACACCAAACAAACCAAGCCGGACAUCCAUGAGCAAGAUGUUUGUGAAGGGUGCUCCUGAAGGUGUCAUUGACAGGUGCACCCACAUUCGAGUUGGGAGUACGAAGGUUCCCAUGACCCCUGGAGUCAAACAGAAGAUCAUGUCUGUCAUUCGGGAGUGGGGAAGUGGCAGCGACACUCUGCGGUGCCUGGCCCUGGCCACUCAUGACAACCCUCUGCGAAGAGAAGAGAUGCACUUGGAGGACUCUGCCAACUUCAUUAAGUAUGAGACCAAUCUGACCUUCGUGGGCUGCGUGGGCAUGCUAGAUCCCCCCAGAAUUGAAGUGGCCUCCUCUGUGAAGCUGUGCCGGCAAGCAGGAAUCCGUGUUAUCAUGAUCACAGGGGACAACAAGGGCACUGCUGUGGCCAUUUGUCGCCGCAUCGGCAUCUUUGGCCAGGAUGAGGAUGUGACGGCAAAGGCUUUUACAGGCCGGGAGUUUGAUGAACUCAGCCCCCCAGCCCAAAGAGACGCCUGCUUGAACGCCCGCUGCUUUGCUAGAGUGGAGCCUUCCCACAAGUCCAAGAUUGUGGAGUUUCUUCAGUCCUUCGAUGAAAUUACAGCCAUGACUGGUGAUGGUGUGAAUGAUGCUCCUGCUCUAAAGAAAGCUGAGAUUGGCAUUGCCAUGGGCUCCGGCACUGCAGUGGCUAAAACUGCCUCUGAAAUGGUCCUGGCGGAUGACAACUUCUCUACCAUCGUCGCUGCUGUGGAAGAGGGACGGGCCAUCUACAACAACAUGAAGCAGUUCAUUCGCUACCUCAUCUCCUCGAAUGUAGGGGAAGUUGUCUGUAUUUUCCUGACAGCAGCCCUUGGGUUUCCUGAGGCUUUAAUUCCUGUCCAACUGCUCUGGGUCAACCUGGUGACCGAUGGCUUGCCUGCCACUGCACUAGGGUUCAACCCUCCUGACCUGGACAUCAUGAAUAAACCACCCCGGAACCCAAAGGAGCCACUUAUCAGUGGGUGGCUGUUUUUCCGUUACCUGGCUAUUGGCUGUUACGUCGGCGCUGCUACCGUGGGUGCUGCUGCCUGGUGGUUCAUCGCUGCUGAUGGUGGUCCAAGAGUGUCCUUCUACCAGCUGAGUCAUUUCCUCCAGUGUAAGGAGGACAACCCAGACUUUGAAGGAGUGGAUUGUGCAAUCUUUGAGUCCCCGUACCCAAUGACAAUGGCGCUGUCUGUUCUAGUAACCAUAGAGAUGUGUAAUGCUCUCAACAGUUUGUCUGAAAACCAGUCCUUGCUGAGGAUGCCCCCUUGGGAGAACAUCUGGCUUGUGGGCUCCAUCUGCCUGUCUAUGUCACUCCACUUCCUGAUCCUCUAUGUGGAACCCCUGCCACUUAUCUUCCAGAUCACACCGCUGAAUCUCACCCAGUGGCUGAUGGUGCUGAAAAUCUCCUUGCCUGUGAUUCUCAUGGAUGAGACACUCAAGUUUGUGGCCCGUAACUACCUGGAACCUGGUAAAGAGUGUGUGCAACCUACCACCAAAUCCUGCUCGUUCUCGGCAUGCACCGAUGGGAUUUCCUGGCCGUUCGUGCUGCUCAUAAUGCCCCUGGUGGUCUGGGUCUAUAGCACAGACACUAACUUUAGUGAUAUGUUCUGGUCUUGACUGACAGCUCUACAUACAGAAGAUGUUUAACUUAAUCAAUUUUUUAUUGUUUAAAGCAACUGUCUGUUUCUGCUGAAUUUUCACAUGAACAUAUUGGCUGGUGAAGGAGGUUUCAUACUCUAGAUUUUUGUUUUGCUUUUUCUGACUCCAGUGGGGCAAGAUUUUCCUUUUUUUAUACACAUAAUUAAAGUGUCCAUUGACAUGUACAGAGAACUAACACUAUUUUAUGCAAAUAUUUUUUUGUAGAUGAAAAAGCAUGUACAGUGUUCUGUUUAAUACUCAUCCUUGUAUAAAAAUAGUUGAGCCAGCAGACAUUGUCAGCAAAUUAAUUGGCAGCAGACUUUAGGAAACGAAUGUGUGUUUUUAAAAAAAAAAAAAAAAAAACCAACUAAAUAGCAUGUGUUGUGUUUUUUGCAUGAUUACCUGGAUUUAAUUUGAUAUCAGUCUAAUUUUUAUUCAUAAGCCAAUUUUUCUGCACUGAGCAGAGUCCUGCUACCUCAGUCAGUAUUUUUUGGUUUGCCACUUCCCGCACCUUCUCCAUUCACCCCCACCCUGCCCCAUCCCCCGCCCCGCUCGGCUUCUUCUGUAGGGUCUUGAUGGUUCUGUUUACAUCAGUCUUCAUGAGAGGUAUGCCUGUCUCGCUUGUGCAGAAAACAUUGUUCCAGAUUCAAUCAACUGGGUUUAUGUCCCUUCACAUAGUUUUUAAAGUUAUUUAUUUAAAUGUCUAAUGUAUUUUAUUGUAACGGACAUUGUUUUGCCAACAUUGCCUAGAUCUCAAUGGCACUUCACAAUCUAGUUCAAAAGAGAAAAAUAAAACAUUUUAAAUGGACAGAAAAUAACUGUCUUGUUCUUAACUCUUUAAGUUGUUCCCCUCGAACUAUCUGAUAGUCUACCUUCCUCUGAAGUUCUUAGCACAGAACCUCGGUUUGGCAUGCUUGAGGGAAAGUGGGGUCCUGUUCUGCUGCAUAGGUAGUUGGGGAAUUUAUUUUUUGAUGUAUAGGCACAAGUUGUCAUCUAAUAUACAUUUUAUGCAAGUCUCUGCUGGCCUCAUUUAAGGAACAUAGGGCAAGCGUGUGUGUGUGUGCGCGCGCGUGUGUGUGUGUGUGUUUUGUAAAAUCUGUAAAUAGCACAUGACCAAAUGAACAUAUUGUAUAGAACUAUUUUUAUUUGAAUGUGGCACUAAUCACCACCAUUACUCUGACCAAUGUUUGAGCAUGUUCGAGAUCAGUCUGACCAACAGUGUAUGAGUCAUUAACAGUCCUAACUGUGAUGUUUUCCUCCAAUGCCUUCCAACAUCCAUCAACUAACCAAUACUGGAGUAACCGCUUCCUAAACCAUUUUGCAGAAAUGUAAGGGUGUUCGGUUGCGUGCAUGUGCGUCUUUAGCAACACAUCUACCAGCCCUCUGCAUGAUUGAUGUUGGGGAAAAAGAAAAGUAGAAAAAGUUCCCAACUCGUGUGUGAUGUGGAGGAAAUGUGUAUUACCAGUGGGGUUUUUAGCUUUUAAAUCAAAAUAAUGUAAAUGUACAAUUUAGCCUAAUCAGAAAGCCUCUUCAGAGAAGUUUGGUUUCUUUGCUGCAAGAACAGUGAGGUUCUGAAAACCUUAUCUAACAACUUAGAAGCAAUCAGCCAAGUCUCCACAUUUCUCUGUGCAAAAUGUCAUAGCUUAUAUAAAUGUACAAUAUUAAAUUAUGAUGCAUGCCUUCAGUUGUAAGUAGCCAGAUUUCUCUACAGUGACCUUGAAAAUGCUACUUUUUAAUUGGCCCUGUACAGUUUGCUUAUUUAUAAAUUCAUUAAAAACACUACAGGUAUUGAAUGGUUAAAAUGUAGGCCUCCAGUUCAUAACUUCAGUUAUUUUUGAGUGUGCAGAAAGUUGUUUCACACUGUAUUAAAUGUAACUUAUUUAAUGAAAUCAGAAGCAGUAGACAGAUGUUGGUGCAAUACAAAUAUUGUGAUGCAUUUACCUUAAUAAAAUGCUAAGCGUCAGUUUAUCCCAACGCAUGUUUGACUAGACUGUAAAUAGAGAUCAGUUUGCUUCACUCUGUGCUAUAACAACAAGCGUUGCACAGACAUGGUUUCAGGUAAAUAAAUCUAUUCUACAUUAAA
Marmota monax (woodchuck) is the source of this 5785-nucleotide RNA transcript. It is a transcript of the gene named ATPase sarcoplasmic/endoplasmic reticulum Ca2+ transporting 2, with no coding region annotated. The transcript has 21 exons. The record is from RefSeq and is a predicted model, not a curated record. NCBI's taxonomy places the organism in Eukaryota, Metazoa, Chordata, Mammalia, Rodentia, Sciuridae.